UUGUACAUAUAUUGUAUAAUUUUUAUAGUAUGUUGUAAUAUAAUAUAUUAUUUUCGCGUAAUAUACUAAACCGUGCGUAAUUUAGUGUAAAAAUCAUACAAAAUAUUUAUUAACAAUGCAUAUGUUGCAUUAUUUAUACAGAUAUUGUACUAUUUUGAAGAGCUUGUUGCACUAUUUGAAAGGAUGUUGCACUCUUUUAUUUUAUUAAUUAUUCUUUAUUCUUUUUAUUUUCUCUUGAAUGAGAUUUCUUAUUUCACGAGAAAGGUACAUGCAUGUAAUUAUGGUUUAGCAGUUAUCAUUUACAAGAAAUUUUAUACUUUAUUUAAUAUGGAAUGAAAUUUAAUUUUCAAAAAGAAAAAGUGUAACACACAUCUAAAUGGUGCAAUAUCCUCUCAUAAUAGUGUAACAUUUACACAAAUUGUGUAAAUAUCUGUACAAAUAGUGUAAAAUAUGCACCAUCUAUAUUUAUGUUGUAUAAUUUUUAUAGUAUGUUGUAAUAUAAUAUAUUAUUUUUUCGUAAUAUACUAAAUUAUGCCUAAUUUAGUGUAAAAAUUAUGUAAAAUGUAUAUUAACAAUACAUAUGUUGCACUACUUAUACAGAUAUUGCACUAUUUUGAAGAGUUUGUUGUACUAUUUGAGAGGAUGUUGCACUCUUUCAUCUUAUUAAUUUUUUUUUAUUUUCUCUUGAAUGAGGUUUUUCGUUUCACGAGAAAGGUACAUGUAAUUAUGACUUGGCAGUUGUCGUUUCAAAAAGUUUUACACUUAGUGACUUAACAGUUGUAUUUUCUAGGCAUUUAAAGCAUAUAAUUUUUAUGCAUUUUGACAGAAGGGUAGUUUGGUCAUCCUUCUGAAAAUUCGGUCCGAAUCUGCAAAAACUAAAAAGGUGGCCCUUUUUUGCAAAAGCGCAAAAUUAGUGGAUUUUUUAUG
This 927-nucleotide long non-coding RNA is filed under the name Ananas comosus (pineapple). RNAcentral describes it as "long non-coding RNA (ACOM_LNC014169)". The record is from RNAcentral. Lineage: Eukaryota; Viridiplantae; Streptophyta; Magnoliopsida; Poales; Bromeliaceae.